RNAcentral lists this ribosomal RNA (387 nucleotides) under uncultured bacterium. Its description in RNAcentral is "bacterial SSU rRNA". It matches the Rfam family "Bacterial small subunit ribosomal RNA", at positions 28 to 417 of the family's 1533-position model. The record is from RNAcentral.
GACGAACGCUGGCGGCGUGCUUAACACAUGCAAGUCGAGCGGUAAGGCCCCUUCGGGGGUACACGAGCGGCGAACGGGUGAGUAACACGUGGGUGACCUGCCCUCAGCUCUGGGAUAAGCCUGGGAAACUGGGUCUAAUACCGGAUAUGACUCCAUGACGCAUGUCGUGGGGUGGAAAGCCUUGUGCGGCUGGGGAUGGGCCCGCGGCCUAUCAGCUUGUUGGUGGGGUGAUGGCCACCAAGGCGACGACGGGUAGCCGGCCUGAGAGGGCGACCGGCCACACUGGGACUGAGACACGGCCCAGACUCCUACGGGAGGCAGCAGUGGGGAAUCUUGCGCAAUGGGCGAAAGCCUGACGCAGCGACGCCGCGUGAGGGAUGACGGCCU